This is a long non-coding RNA of Corvus hawaiiensis (hawaiian crow), 1119 nucleotides long. RefSeq lists it as uncharacterized. The transcript is spliced from 3 exons. Lineage: Eukaryota; Metazoa; Chordata; Aves; Passeriformes; Corvidae. The record is from RefSeq and is a predicted model, not a curated record.
GCCAGCAUGGCCUGGGCACGGGAACGGGGGGCAAAGCGGGCGGGAUCCUUCUGCAGCUGCCUGGUGGUUUCUGGUUUCUGUGCCCAGAGUGCCAGGAUGUUCUGAAGAGGUGCUUGUCCAUGCAGCCCUUGGCCAGGCCGUCCUUGGAAGAGCUCUUCCGUGACCCUUGGCUGCAGGGUGUUCAUGUGCCCUAGAGGAUGGCAGAGAGCCACGGGCACAGUGUGAUCCAGGGGCCUGGCAGGUAACAGCCCCACCCAUCUCUUGGCAAUCAGUGGCAAAGCAAAGCAGACUCUUUUGUCCUGCCUGUAGCUCUGAGCAGGGAGCAUCAGAAGGGAACACGCAGCUCUUGGGCUGCAGCUGAGCUGGAGGCCUGCUCUGGCAAGCACUGGUGGCCACCAUCCCCCCUGGUUUUGCUUGUCUGGUUCACUGAUGGCUGGGGCCCUGGGCAGAACCCUGAGAGCCUGGUGUGGCCCCAGGGAAGGAGAAGGAGCCCCUGGAGAAGCUGUAGCAGGUGGGGCUGCUGCUGCUGGAGACACCAAGGAUGAGCUCAAGGAUGACAACCUCUUCCUGGAGCUGGCCAGCGGCAGCUGAAGAUGAUGGCCUUUGAUUGUGGCACCUUCUCCAAAGACACGCUCCACGGCCAGUGUGCAGCCGGGCUCUGCCGAUGCUGAGGCUGCUCCGGGCUCUGCCAGGGCUCUGCUGGGGCUCAGCCCCGGGCACGGCUGGGCCCGCUCUCCCCUCACAGGGCUCUGACAGCUUUGCAUCAGAUGAGCCCCUUGCGAGCACAGCGACGGAGCUUUCUGCUUUUGCAGCCUCCCCUCUCCGUGUGCCAGAAGGAAUUGGAUGAACUGUAUUCUUCUCUCUGAGUCGUCUCGUUCAGCAUGAGCAGCUCAGCACCAGGAGCUGAAGGAGCUGAAGCCUUAGGCCACAAGAGCUGAGCAAGAGGAGACUUUUAGACCAAAAUAAUGCUGCUACCAUGGGCCUGGCUGAAUGCAGCAGACAGAAUCCUGGAAUUACAGAAUCCUUCCUGUUGGAAAAGACCUCUGAGCUCAUCAAGUCCAACUGUUAACCCAGCACUGUCAAGCCCAGCACUAAACCACGUCCCUGAAGUGCCAAGGC